This 1367-nucleotide ribosomal RNA is filed under the name uncultured bacterium. RNAcentral describes it as "bacterial SSU rRNA". It matches the Rfam family "Bacterial small subunit ribosomal RNA", at positions 28 to 1381 of the family's 1533-position model. The record is from RNAcentral.
GACGAACGCUGGCGGCGUGCCUAAUACAUGCAAGUAGAACGCUGAAGGAGGAGCUUGCUUCUCUGGAUGAGUUGCGAACGGGUGAGUAACGCGUAGGUAACCUGCCUGGUAGCGGGGGAUAACUAUUGGAAACGAUAGCUAAUACCGCAUAAGAGUAGAUGUUGCAUGACAUUUGCUUAAAAGGUGCAAUUGCAUCACUACCAGAUGGACCUGCGUUGUAUUAGCUAGUUGGUGGGGUAACGGCUCACCAAGGCGACGAUACAUAGCCGACCUGAGAGGGUGAUCGGCCACACUGGGACUGAGACACGGCCCAGACUCCUACGGGAGGCAGCAGUAGGGAAUCUUCGACAAUGGACGGAAGUCUGACCGAGCAACGCCGCGUGAGUGAAGAAGGUUUUCGGAUCGUAAAGCUCUGUUGUAAGAGAAGAACGAGUGUGAGAGUGGAAAGUUCACGCUGUGACGGUAUCUUACCAGAAAGGGACGGCUAACUACGUGCCAGCAGCCGCGGUAAUACGUAGGUCCCGAGCGUUGUCCGGAUUUAUUGGGCGUAAAGCGAGCGCAGGCGGUUAGAUAAGUCUGAAGUUAAAGGCUGUGGCUUAACCAUAGUACGCUUUGGAAACUGUUUAACUUGAGUGCAAGAGGGGAGAGUGGAAUUCCAUGUGUAGCGGUGAAAUGCGUAGAUAUAUGGAGGAACACCGGUGGCGAAAGCGGCUCUCUGGCUUGUAACUGACGCUGAGGCUCGAAAGCGUGGGGAGCAAACAGGAUUAGAUACCCUGGUAGUCCACGCCGUAAACGAUGAGUGCUAGGUGUUAGACCCUUUCCGGGGUUUAGUGCCGCAGCUAACGCAUUAAGCACUCCGCCUGGGGAGUACGACCGCAAGGUUGAAACUCAAAGGAAUUGACGGGGGCCCGCACAAGCGGUGGAGCAUGUAGUUUAAUUCGAAGCAACGCGAAGAACCUUACCAGGUCUUGACAUCCCUCUGACCGCUCUAGAGAUAGAGCUUUCCUUCGGGACAGAGGUGACAGGUGGUGCAUGGUUGUCGUCAGCUCGUGUCGUGAGAUGUUGGGUUAAGUCCCGCAACGAGCGCAACCCCUAUUGUUAGUUGCCAUCAUUCAGUUGGGCACUCUAGCGAGACUGCCGGUAAUAAACCGGAGGAAGGUGGGGAUGACGUCAAAUCAUCAUGCCCCUUAUGACCUGGGCUACACACGUGCUACAAUGGCUGGUACAACGAGUCGCAAGCCGGUGACGGCAAGCUAAUCUCUUAAAGCCAGUCUCAGUUCGGAUUGUAGGCUGCAACUCGCCUACAUGAAGUCGGAAUCGCUAGUAAUCGCGGAUCAGCACGCCGCGGUGAAUACGUUCCCGGGCCU